GAUUCGAUGGCGCGGUGCUUCGCGCCGACGGUCAUCGCGUCGAAAAACUCCAAUCUGUUGGGGUCGGAUUCGUACUCC
This 78-nucleotide transfer RNA is filed under the name Mycobacteroides abscessus subsp. abscessus. RNAcentral describes it as "tRNA-Met(cat)". The record is from RNAcentral. Lineage: Bacteria; Bacillati; Actinomycetota; Actinomycetes; Mycobacteriales; Mycobacteriaceae.